RNAcentral lists this ribosomal RNA (432 nucleotides) under uncultured bacterium. Its description in RNAcentral is "partial 16S ribosomal RNA". It matches the Rfam family "Bacterial small subunit ribosomal RNA", at positions 29 to 507 of the family's 1533-position model. The record is from RNAcentral.
AACGAACGCUGGCGGCAUGCCUAACACAUGCAAGUCGAACGAGACCUUCGGGUCUAGUGGCGCACGGGUGCGUAACGCGUGGGAACCUGCCCUUAGGUUCGGAAUAACUCCCCGAAAGGGGUGCUAAUACCGGAUAAUGUCUUCGGACCAAAGAUUUAUCGCCUUUGGAUGGGCCCGCGUUGGAUUAGCUAGUUGGUAGGGUAAAAGCCUACCAAGGCGACGAUCCAUAGCUGGUCUGAGAGGAUGAUCAGCCACACUGGGACUGAGACACGGCCCAGACCCUUCGGGAAGGCGGCAGUGGGGACGAUGGGACACUGGGCGAAGGCUUAACCCCGCAUGGCCGGGUGAGUGUGGAAGGCUUUGGGUUGUAAAGCUCUUUUACCCGGGAUGAUAAUGACAGUACCGGGAGAAUAAGCUCCGGCUAACUCCGUG